This 450-nucleotide ribosomal RNA is filed under the name uncultured bacterium. RNAcentral describes it as "partial 16S ribosomal RNA". It matches the Rfam family "Bacterial small subunit ribosomal RNA", at positions 354 to 796 of the family's 1533-position model. The record is from RNAcentral.
GUGGGGAAUCUUCCGCAAUGGGCGAAAGCCUGACGGAGCAACGCCGCGUGAGUGAAGAAGGCCUUCGGGUCGUAAAGCUCUGUUGUUCGGGACGAAUGGCAGUACGAAGAACAAGCGUACUGCAUGACGGUACCGGACGAGGAAGCCACGGCUAACUACGUGCCAGCAGCCGCGGUAAUACGUAGGUGGCAAGCGUUGUCCGGAAUUAUUGGGCGUAAAGGGAGCGCAGGUGGGCAAGUAAGUCUGUCUUAAAAGUGCGGGGCUCAACCCCGUGAGGGGAUAGAAACUACAUUUCUUGAGUGCAGGAGAGGAAAGCGGAAUUCCUAGUGUAGCGGUGAAAUGCGUAGAUAUUAGGAGGAACACCAGUGGCGAAGGCGGCUUUCUGGACUGUAACUGACACUGAGGCUCGAAAGCCAGGGGAGCGAACGGGAUUAGAUACCCGGGUAGUCC